This is a small nucleolar RNA of Tachyglossus aculeatus (Australian echidna), 138 nucleotides long. The record is from RefSeq and is a predicted model, not a curated record. NCBI's taxonomy places the organism in Eukaryota, Metazoa, Chordata, Mammalia, Monotremata, Tachyglossidae.
ACCCUCUCAGGAUCACACCUGGAGAGUUUUGAGUACUCUACCAGUCUUGGCUACGGGAAGGAGAGUCGAGCAGAAGCAUACCCAUUCCCUUCUCAGCUUGGGCAGUGGUCAGUGAGUGGAAGGCAUUCUGCUACAAGU